This 253-nucleotide ribosomal RNA is filed under the name uncultured bacterium. RNAcentral's name for it is "partial 16S ribosomal RNA". It matches the Rfam family "Bacterial small subunit ribosomal RNA", at positions 524 to 776 of the family's 1533-position model. The record is from RNAcentral.
UACGGGGGGGGCAAGCGUUGUUCGGAAUUACUGGGCGUAAAGGGCGCGUAGGCGGCCUGGCAAGUGGAAGGUGAAAUCCCUCGGCUUAACCGAGGAACUGCCUCCCAAACUGCUUGGCUUGAGACCAGGAGAGGUGAGUGGAAUUCCCAGUGUAGCGGUGAAAUGCGUAGAUAUUGGGAGGAACACCAGUGGCGAAGGCGGCUCACUGGACUGGUACUGACGCUGAGACGCGAAAGCGUGGGGAGCGAACAGG